Molecule: ribosomal RNA, 274 nt
Filed under: uncultured bacterium
Lineage: Bacteria
Description: partial 16S ribosomal RNA
Rfam family: Bacterial small subunit ribosomal RNA
Source: RNAcentral
AUACGGAGGGUCCGAGCGCUAAUCGGAAUUACUGGGCGUAAAGGGUGCGUAGGCGGCUUGAUAAGUCGGAUGUGAAAGCCCCGGGCUUAACUUGGGAAUUGCAUUCGAUACUGUCAGGCUAGGGUAUGUCAGGGGUUGGCGGAAUUCCUGGUGUAGCGGUGAAAUGCGUAGAUAUCAGGAGGAACACCAGUGGCGAAGGCGGCUAACUGGGGCAAUACUGACGCUGAGGCACGAAAGCGUGGGGAGCAAACAGGAUUAGAUACCCUAGUAGUCC